CCCAACUGGUGUUUUUCUGCAUUUCUUUAUUGAUUGCCUGUACAUAUUUGAAAAUAUGAAUAUCCCAAAAAUGUAUUGUGACAAAUAUUUAUCUCAGUGUGUCUCGAUAUGUUGUAUGAAUUACAUUGUGUCUACACCAAUGAAUAUAAAUGCUUACGGUAUACAUACGGUCUGAAAUAAAACUCAAACCUACAACAAAAGUUGUUAAGUGAUAAAAUAAAAGCACAUUUUGACGGACAUUUUUGUAUUUCCAGUCCUCCCAUCCCCUAUGUAAUGAUACAGAGCCAAUGUAAACUAGGAACUGUGCCUUUGCAUGUUAACUUUCCACCCAUGAAUGGGAUUUAUGAAAACCAACAUAGCGUCAUUGCUUCAGGCAAUAUAUUAAGUUGCACAAUCUGUCAAGCGCGCACACACGAAGCCAAACCGAAUCAGUCCAACUUUAACACAUUGCAACUCAAAGGACGACCAGUGAGGAGAGCUCUCGUUUUUUUCCUCUCUUUCAAUCAAACAAUGUUCCGUGUCUCCAGGCGAUGAUGGAUGAAUCCAUCAGCUGUGUCGUCUCCUGAUUAAGUGGCUGUAUCUAAACACAACUUCCAAUCUAGCAACUAGUCUCGGUAGCAAACUGCAGAUGAUUGAUCGCUCGAAAAACGAUUUCCUCCCUCUCUCCUCCCUCUCUCCUCCCGCCCCGUCUCUCUCGGCUUGUCCCACCUCCCCUCUGUCAAACAUCAUGUGACCCAGGUGCACUGCUCCCCAAGUGGCCUGGCCUCGCAGCCAGUUCUUCACAGUGGAAAGCCGCACAAAUGGCCAUUCAUAUCAAUCAUUACGCACCACCAACCAGGCUUUCUGUUUCCAAUGGCUCCCAUGCAAAAACACUGCAGGUCCUGUUCUGAACAUGAAAAGUUGCUUGUGCCCGCAAUUCAAGGUGCUAAAACUGGGUUGAUUUUUUUAUUUUUUUUCCCCCCUCUUUCUGCAGUGUUCUAUCAACGUGGCGGAAGUGAAACUUCGAAAGGUUUUCAACACCGUCUUGAUCAAGUUGGCGAAGUGUUUCAUACGGUUAGAGAUGCUUUGAUGAAAGAGAGCAGUGUGGUGACCUCGAGGGGUGCGAGAGGAGGAAAAGGCUCUAGCCCCCUGCCGCAUUUAGGAGGUGUGAAGGGCUGUCCAGGUUCCAGUGUUAAGCAUCUGUCCCACCAGCAACAAGCGAGGCUGUGUGGCGACCGGCUUACCUCUGCGCACAAAGGAUGUCCUGUACUUCCCGUGCACACAGACACACUUAAACCCACACUGGAACACAUGACCCCCUUAAGCUUUUCUCUUUGUCGCAAGGCGCACAUAUCUGAGCCCCAGCUUACAAAUACUUGUUUGCCGACAGCCUGCCGGUUUUCAGAGCAGAGAGGAGUGAAGAGCUUUAACCCACAUCUCUUUCCCUCAGGCUGAUAAAGUGCUCUGAUAAGCCGCGAGGUGCUGGUGAAAAGUGGCUGGCCCUCAGCCCCCAGGGCUACAAUAUGAAAGAGUGGCUUGUCUGGAGCGAAGCAGAAUAGAAGAGAUGAUGAAGCCAGAAAAAAAAAAGCCAUGGAGGAAAAACAAAGUCCAGAAGAAAGGAAUUGGAUUGAUGAAGUGGUCUGGGUGCAGCGUGCAUGUCUGUAUAUGUGUUCGCUCAGGUAUGCAUGUGCAUACAUUUGUGAGAAUUUACUUUCGCCACCAGCUGUGGGCGGCGGGAGGGGGGCAGGGUGUAGAACGGGGGAGUCCUGCCAUGUGUUUAUGUUGACUAAUGAGCUAAUUACCCAGCCCCUAAUCUAGCUCAACUUGUGUCAUUUCACAGGAAUGCUGCAGCAGUCAAACGCUUGCAGAUUAUGGGUCAUUUCCUGACAGUUAAAGGCAAACUACUACAGCAGUAAUUCCUCCCCACACCAGGCGCUAAACCACAAGGGCUACAGCCCCUCCAUUUGCUUCUUCAUGAAUUUAUUGUCCUCAAAUGUGACUACAGGAUUUCCUCGUUAAAAGUAAGCACACACUUUAGCAUUCCCUUUAGCAUCUCGCAGUUUAUUAGUUAGAUGAUAUGACUUAUGACAUAUUUUUUUGGGCACAAAUAGUUCUUUGUCAGCCCUACAAUUGCAUGCAGCACAGACUGCCAUCAUUUGUACAGAUUAAGUAUCAUACGGUUUGGAAUUAUCCAAAACAUUUUUCCAAAUCCAUGCAAGGUAGAUGUGGAUCAAUAAACCAUAUGCACAGCAUACAGUACAAGAAUAUGCUGUUAUUAUACUACUUAUGUGUUAAACUCACAUUGUAGUGGUUUUGAAAGGUUUAAGGGAGAUUUUUUAAGAUUCUCAUUGUGACUUUAUUGUGAAAAAUGUACUAUAAAUAAACAAAAAUAUAUAUGUUAUGAUUUAUUUGUAGCAUCGUAUAUUGUGAUUUCUAUUUAGAAAUUGAAUGCAACUUUAUUCUCCUUUAGGAAUUCCAAUAUGUUAUUUCCGUGGCCCACGAAGGUCAAUCAAUAUUUGUUUUCACAGGAGCAACAUUACACAAAAGCCUUCAAAGGAAACUUUGGAUGUGGAACUCUCUUCUUUAAGAAAGAGUUUUAUGCCAGAUGAGGUGGCGCAAAGUCAUGUCACCUGAGUCUGUUUCGUCUGAGAGUAGUACAAUAUUGAAAUGCCCCCCCCACCAAACAAAGUGGAGGUGUGGAGCUGAAAAGAAUUGCCCCUGCUAGCCUGUUCCUCAUCUCCGCUGCGAGCGGCUUGAGGCUGCCCAUCAGAGGGGCCGACAGUAGCCAAUAGCUAUUAUGUAAACACUGAAAGCUCUUCAGGACUUGGCUGAUUAAUUGCGACUGUCAGGAUAUUUCAAUUUUUUGGAGAAAUAUGAGGAGGCCUUGCUUACAGCGAAAACAUUACAGUGUUGCUGGAAAGGCUCCAUGUUGAGAAAUAAGUUUGGGAAGUGCCUUCAAGUGUUUCAGGUCAUUGUUAACAAAUCCAGUCAGCACUCCGUGAAGUAUUGCUCGCUUAUAUCUAAGAAGUAUUUAAAGUAUUAAAAGAAUGAACUGGUGAAGGAAUAUUAACUUAUAACCAAUAAGAUGAAAGAAAAAGAUUCAAGGAAAGCAAACAAAAGUUGAAUGUACUUUGGAGGCUUGAAUCAAUCAAAUCUCUGAGGCAGACAGCAUGGGAGGUCUCCAUCCCCUCCACCCGCCCGCAGCGAGAGGUGUGAGCGGGGAUUUGGUGAGCUCACCCCUCCCUCCAUCCUUCCUUGUUCAUCAUCCACCUCCCUGGGGUGUGUGCUGCUCCGCUCCCCCUCAACAAGCUCCCAUCCAUCACUCCUAAGAUUUCACUUUAAUAGGUGGUCCUCUUCCUCCUUCACACUCCCUCGCGGGAACAUUUGGUUGAAAAAAUCAAGAUGGCGGAUGGUGAAAGUGGGAUUGUUAGAAACGUUUUUAGCGAUACUGACAAUGAUUGGUAACUGGAGAUCUUAGUUUCCAUGUAACACUGGCUGCUUAUACUAGUUCUGCUGUUGCUAUCGGAGUUUCUCUUUUUCUUUUUACAUAUUUGCCCAUCAGAUAUCAGACAUGACAAAUUCUUUACAUGUGCAAUCAUUCAUCGGGAUUUAUUUACUUCUGCACUUUACGAACCUUACGUACUUUGACUCUCUACCUUCGCAUUGAAGUUACUGUAGUGUUUUUUCCAGAAACCGACAAUGAAUUGAAUCUUGAAUCUCGGUUCCUUACAUCGAUGACCGGGAAGACGUUUGUCAAACUCGCUGAAUGUGUUGGUCUUCAAAGACCGAAUAAGAGACAACUACAUACUGUAUUGGCCUACCCUGCAGAAAUCAACACCCCAAUACGUUGUACUGGGCUCAGAAGGCGAGUAACUGAAGGCUGGAGGAGCCGGGGCCGAGCGGUAGCUCCUCAAUUCAAACAGGAGGCAGCUUGCUUGAUAUUUAAAUGGCCUGUGUUUGUUUUUCUUCUGGUCCCGUGUGUGCACGUGAGCCCAGUAUAAAGGGCUGUGUUCUUUUGAAGGGGAUAGCACCAGGAAAGCCGGGGGGAAGGAAACCUUGCUUUGGUGUUUUAUAUAUCAACGGAAUGACUUCCCUCAAAUAAAGACGUGCUCCGUUCCGCCGGUCGGGCUGGAACAAGCUGCUUGUUUCCUGUCCUGAAAACUCGCGGCGUGUUCAGAACAAUGCAGCCGGCCACAAUGAAGGAGAUGUCUCGUCUGGAAGAUAUGCCAAGGGUGCUUUUGUUUGACCCGCGAGUUCAGGCUGAAUCAUUUGUUUACAGGAUUUGUGACAUUUGAAUGAAGGCACACGAUUGUGAAAUUGGAAUUGAUAGAAAUGCCGAAACAAUAGAUCCGGAACAAGCGGAAGAUGAAAGUAUUUCCCUUUGAGGCCGUAAAGUCUUUAAACUCAUUUUUUUUUUUCAGCCAUUAACAGUAGCCACAAAAGAAAUCUGAACUCCGGGACAAAGACACAUCUGCUGCUGGUGGAAUUGUUCCUCUAAACAUUCAUAACUCGGCCAACCCGCCAUGCAACGGACAAAGGCUUCCUCUCUGCCUCUCCCCACUGGGAGCUCGACGUGCGGAGUUUCUCACUCGCGCUGCCUCCUCAUCAAAUUACAGCCCUGCUCCCUCCUGUCAUGUUGGCAAACAAAGGUCUUAAGGCGCACUCCCAGUGUAAUUGCCUCUAAUCUCAGACAUAAUGUGGCCUUUCAAGUCAACUAGUCGGAGAGAAAAGGGAGCUGUUGUUCACUCUGCCUCUUCUUUUUUUUCUCUUUUUUUUCGCCACUUGUGCUCUCCCACUUUCACUUGGAGGAGCAAGAGUUUGCUGGGCUCCGUUUCCCAGUCUGAAGCGGGAAAAAAUAAGAUGCUUUCGUUAGAUAUAGUCACAAUGUAAAAGUUAGUUCUGGAACCUGAAGACAUUACCGAACCUCUGCCAAAGAGCAUGAGUUUGGUUGGUCAGGAAGCCGUCCCCGGUAUCGCAGCAGUUCCUCGGUGAGCCCCUCCACCUUUGGCCUGGAUUCUCUCCGUGGCGAGCAUCAGGCAGUCUGCAGCUGGAAGUGUUUCUGCGGUUUGGCCAGGUGUCUCUCUGCCCUGCCCGGGACAAGGCCUCAGCGGGGCCUGGGACUGGAGUCUGAGCGCAGGCUCCCGGCGCUGAGCGAGCUGGCUGCCCCUCCGUGAUCUGAAAUGUCCCGCAGACCCACCUGACUGGUGGUCAGCUGUAACCGAUACGACACAAUAGCAGCGCCGGAGGGGGAAAGAGGGGUGUGGGAGGGGGGGGUUGAAAAUGAAGAUGUGUGUGAGCGAAACGUAGAGCUGUGGAGAAGAGGAGAGAGAAGGUGAGAGCGGCUAAUGGAAAUGUUGGACAAAUUCUCCAACCGAAGAGGCCUUUUGGUUAAAUAAUGGAACGCAGACGUUAAUAUGGUUUCCAGGGGCUUUGGCAAGCAGAGAUGAACAUAUCGAGUAGAAAACACAGUAUCUGAUAUCUGCGCUGUGUUGGGCUUUUUGAGCGAGUGGGGAGAGAGCGCAGGGUAAGAGGAGAUGCAGUGUUUCUAAAACCGUUCAGCGGGGCUUUUUUAAGGAACCCAGCUGUGCGCCCUGGAGGUCCCGAGCUCUAACUGGGGCAAAAUCAGCUGCAGCUUCAGAGCGGGGUUCUCCGUGACCUGAUGUUCCAGGAGCCUCUGUGAAUUGAUGGGCCCCAGGAGAGUUGUCGCAAGGGCCCUGGAACAAUCACCCAUUCAUCCCCGCAGCCACAGCAACGGGGCAAACACAAACUAGGGAUUAAAAAAAAGGCUGUUUCUAAAAUGGGAAAUCGCCAAAUGGUAAUUAAAAUCCUUUUUGGGGUUCUUGAGAGUUUGAAAUAAAUGAAGAUAGGCGAUAAGUUGUUUUUUGUAAAACUACCAAUAGGCUUUCCUCUACCACCCACAUUGAGAUUUUUAAAAAAGAAAGAAAACCCCAAACUAAAAUAUUAAGAACAUGAAAUAACUGUACAUUCCCCUUUGAAUAACCCCCGUAUAUUUUUGGAUAAUGUGGCUGAACUGGCUCGAGCCCAUCACGCCUCAUGCGCCAGGACUACACACUGCUGUUACAUAAGACAGCUGAGCCAGUCCAGACAUUGAGACUAGUCCUUAUGUGGACGCAAAUGGGUGGGUUUCACUGCGUCCCCCUCGCCCAAACCCAUUUACCAUGACUGUAUCAACCAACUUCUCUCCAGAGUCCCUCUCACUCUCAGAGAUUAGAGGCCCGGAGGUCAGCUGCACAUCAGUUACAUUUUUCUGUGCUUCACCGGCCAGUUAUUUAUAGAGCAAGAACAAAUAUACAAUGGUAGGAGGCUGGCGGUCAGGGUAGGAGGUGUAGGUUGAGCCCGGGAACAUCUGUCCUUUCAAAGGCAUCUCUUCCUUGGUAUGCUCAGAAUCCACUCCAGGGGUGUUUGGCGCUUCACUGGUAGUCAGAGAGAUGGCAUGCAAGUCAAAACAGAGCUGAAGAGGGAACGAAGAACCUCGUCCAAACCCGGCCGGCUGCAUAGCGCAGCAACAUGUUCCCCUCGACCCCUCACGGUAUUUGCAAGGAUCGUUUUUUUUUAAGAUUAGCUUAAUGAAGAGACAACACCGUGUCAGAAGAAACAUUUAUGAGGCACAAAUGGAGAAAUUGCCGUUUAAAACCAUUGAUUAUUAGAUAAUGUGCUAAUGGCCAUUGAUAGGGUUUAACCUGUUACCUGUAUGUACAGUAUUGACGACAACACACUGUCCAGACUGCUGUUGAUUUUAAGAUUGGGGAAUUGGUUAUAUGCUUGCAGCAUGCACAACAAUAUUAUACGUCAAUUACCUUCGCUUUUGCAUAUUGACACUGACAUAUUCUCAAGGCUGGAGCAGUAUGUGUGUGUGUGUGUGUGUGUGUGUGUGUGUGUGUGUGUGUGUGUGUGUGUGUGUGUCUGACAGAGUCUCUGUUUAGUCUGUCAACAUCAGAGAUGCUUCAUUACACACUCGUAAAUCCUGCGCCGACACUCCCAGUCCGACCUCUCACUCUUUCUCUCGCUGGUUCUUCCUGACGUGCAUGGGAAACAAUCACGCACACAGACACACACAAUAGGCUGAUGCUUUGAUUACAAUGUCCACUUUUUUUUGUUUGUUUGAAAUGAGCGCGAGUGAAUAUUUUAACAAUCUGCGUGGUAAGAUGACAUAAAUCAGUAAUCAUAUGAAAAAUUCUUCAUAUCUUCAUAUCAUCAUUUUAUAAUUAUUUUGCCUUAUUCUAAAACAUAAUUCAAACAAAUUAUUCAAAUUCACAAUACAAUAAUAGUACAAUAAGACUGUUAAUAUUAUAUUAAAAUGAUCAUGACUGAAGGAAAAGGUUAUUAUAUUGUCUGAUAUUUGUUGUAAAACAAAUAUUGCAAAUUUAUUUUUGGGCUCAAGAGAGACAAUAAGCAAAACUGGAAAAUAACUAAUUGAAACAUUUCUCUUUUCCUGUGGACCUGAUGUCCUCAGUCGUCCAUUACAGAACAAGCAAGAAAACGUUGAGGAUGAACAGCAGACUAAAUAAACUCAUUGAAAUUAGAAACAUCCCAUUUAUAUUGGCUAAGAGGUUGUUUUACUAAACCGUGAGCUGUUUUGAAACAAUUCUCGCUAUCUACAAAUGGCUUAUUUGGCUCAUAAUAGUAUUAAUUCUUUAGUUUUUAUCAGCCCAAUUGUAAUUAGAACACCCACCCUUUACUUUUUUUGUUUUGGCCCUUUUAACCCAUUCAAUUCACUCACAACAAAUACAGGCCGCAGCACAAACCACUGGCGUGGGAAAAAAAUCAAUAAUUACUAAAUAACUAAAAAGCACCAUAACUUUAUCAAAUAUCCUUGUAUGCACACGUCAUAAGAAUUUAAUAGCUAUUUGCUAUUUGAUUCGUCGGCAUUUUUCUAAGCCUGACUGAAACAUGUCAAAAACUACUUUUAAAGUAAGUUAUGGAAAUUAAUUUUCAGGAAAUUGAAUAAUAUUUAAAUGUUGUCCGCUAACUUCGUUUUAUUGUAGAAAUAAUUGUUUAUUAGAGGCAAUGUGGAUAAAAUUGGAAAAUGAGCAUUUAAUCCAUAACGGGUUCACUCGCCUUCAUUGUGCAGCUAUUUUCCCGUUGGAUUAUAAUGUAAUUGGGUGUAUUUCACGCACGCGGCGACGUGUUGCGAUAACCCGCAUACGGGGACUUUAUUGACCGUAAUUAGGCCGCUUUUGUCUGAGGCCUCAAACGCAACGCGCUCUCCUCCAGGCCGGCCGCUGCAGAAGCACCGAGGUGAGAGAUGAAAGGAUGAAAUCCGCAAAUCAACAUUCUGCCCCGACCCUUGUGCACAGGCAUUCCUGUGAAAUGAGGUCACUGCAUAAUCCGCAAACUCAGACGCAAAAAGAAAUAAUCGCCUUCCCUUUAACACGUCACAAAGUUCCGACAUUACACGUCGUAGUUAUUCAAAAAUGUUCACAUUGGGAGGUGUUUUCGAUUUUAAAAAAACAAUUAGAAGUGUUAUAUAUGAGGAGGAAUUUAUUAUUCUUGAACCAACCCCCAGUUACGUCAGAAUAAUAAUCAUUUUCUUUACAUAAACGGUUAUAAUUAUAACGUUCAUCCAGUAGCUCUUCUGGCAAAACGUAUUUAAGUUCCGUUGGAUCACGAAUGCAGUUCAUAACUUGGGAAGUCUACAAUGUUUCUGCUUCAGAGCUUUUUCAGGUUUUUUUCACUCAGAGCCUCAAUUAAUUUUAUUUUACCAAAAAUCAUAAACUCUAUUUCACUUAAGAUUUGAGAAGGUACUUAUUUAUAGUCAUCAGAAACUACAUUGUAUAGCUGCUUGUGUUGUAAGCAAAUCAAAAAAAUGUAACAAAUCCUUAAAAUAAUAGUAAAUAACAGGUUAUACUAGAUAUUUAUAAUGCAUCGUGAUUCAGCAUAUAUCAUGAAAAGUUCAGCAGAGCUGUCAAACUGCUGCAGGGAAGGACUCCCCCAUAAUUACAUUUUAAGAGCAGAGGAAGCCGAAGGCCUGACCACCGUCAUUCAGUCGGCAUUAAAUAAACACGAGACCCAUCAGUGUCACAUAUGCCCCUCACACAGUCGCACUAUGAAUUAUGACCUUCAUAGCCUGAGAUUUAAAAAAAAAUGAAGAAAAAAAAACGGCUCAUGAUCAGACUUGAAGAAAACAUCCUAAGAGCUAUUAUGAUUUAAUUAAUAAUGGAAGUUGACUAAAUGAAACAUGUUAUCAGUUUAGUGUCUCAUCAAUUCAUAUUCACCCCCUCUAAGGAUUUUUUUGUAAGUAUGACACAUUAUUCAGUGUGGAGAGAGAUCAGGAAGCAGCAUGUUGUUACUUGCCCGGUGGAGAAACACAACACAAUAUCAGCAGACGGGGAAAGAUGGAAACAGCUCUGCUCUAACAAAUACUUACACGACCAUCGGGCAACAAGGCAAAAAACACAAAGGGGAUAAUUGGAGUAAUGUGUUGUUCUCGAAGAGUUUUACAGGACAAACUGAGACGUGAUAUCCAACACGUCAUGGGAUUUCUAUUCUUCAUCCGCCCCCGGCUCGCCUUUGAUGCAGAGCGUAAUAAAGCUGUAAGGACCUAAGAAGACAUGGAUUAGCGAGGGAUCACACAGAUUCAAUGACAAACAAUUAUUGGGCGUGACGUUAAGAUUAAAAGCUAAAGGUUGUUCCACAGUAUCCGACUGGGACUCCUGCCUCGAUGUCAGUGCAAAUAAUUCAACCAUUUUCAGGUUACAUUUGGUUUUUGAAAAGCGGAUGAAGUGUUUUGUGAUGUUAUAUUGUUUGACUAAUAUUAACCAUCAUUAUUUAUAAUUUUUUUCAAAUGAGAUCAUGUCAUAAAAUGUCUACAGUUAAUUAGAAUGUGACUAAAAGGAACCUGCACAUAUUUCUGUCUGUUUAAGCCAAUUAUUUCAAUUGUAUAUCUUUUUCUGGACUUAAAUUCAGAUUUACAGCUCAAUCCCAGACAUUAGCUCUGUCCCUCUCCAGUUGUGGCUAUAGUGAUUUAGGAUGACCUUUAUAACCAUAAGGUCAACAUCAACAUUGUUUUAAGGUGUCCUUGUGUGGGCGAGCAGUGCUAAUGCUCUGUGACACAAUAAAGCAUUUUUAAAUUGGUAAUGAGAAAGGUUGCAACUUUUUUUUCCUUUGCCUAAUAAUAAAAAAAAAUUGUUGUUUUGUUGUCUCUAGAAAGACCCCGAAAGACCCCAAAAUACAAGGAAUCAUACUAAAUAUCUGUUGUAUGGUUUUUAUAAUAUUGCCAGGCAACAAACACACGCUGUGACUUGUUUUACAUUUUCCACCCACUAACGAGCCUCCAGAGGGCCCACGCUUAUGGUUUCAACUGUGCAACGCGCCAAAUAUUUAGAGUAAUAGGUGGUUACUGUGCUAUCUGUGCCACUACAAGCUGUCAAUCUGGACCCCGGAGCUAAUUAAAAAGGCCCCUGCGCUUUAUUUGUUUGCACACACUGAGGGCAGACUGAAACCGUCGGGCGUGGGGGCAUGACAAGCACGCCAUGCCCCCUUAAAUCACUCCGCUGUGCCAAAACGCUGACACCACACAAUGACCCUGACAAAACAUUUGAGUCCCCAGUGUGGGCGAGACGGGAGAGGGGGGGGGGACCUACUGAUUGGUACGAUUUAGGAAAUGAUCUGUCUUUCUGUAUCAUUUUUCUCCUUCAGCUUCGACAUCACCCGGCUCUUAGUGUCUGUGUUACUCAUGUUCAAACCCUCCUUGCAUUGCAUUGCAUUGCAUUGCAUGUACCACCGUAAAGUACAAGAUACUUUUGCAUAGUUCAAUAGAAAACGUACUCUGACUUACUGUAUUGUCACAGGCCUGCAUCCAACAGCUGAUCUUUAUCCGGCGUGGGGCGUCUUUCCUUCCGAUCACUUCUCUUUUCUUCGUCCGGAACUCUGCUCUAAUAUGCUCGUCCCGAGAAGUGACACAAAAAUGGAGCCCGGGAUGGAAUAAAAGACGCAUGAGAUUUAAUUAUGUGGAAGUGGAGUUCAUCA
This is a long non-coding RNA of Gasterosteus aculeatus aculeatus (three-spined stickleback), 10968 nucleotides long. Lineage: Eukaryota; Metazoa; Chordata; Actinopteri; Perciformes; Gasterosteidae. The record is from Ensembl.